Molecule: long non-coding RNA, 652 nt
Filed under: Heterocephalus glaber (naked mole-rat)
Lineage: Eukaryota; Metazoa; Chordata; Mammalia; Rodentia; Bathyergidae
Description: lncRNA (ENSHGLG00000036203.1)
Source: RNAcentral
CUCUUGCCCUGUUCAUCUCCUCCAUUUGGCAGUUCCGCAGUUCCGUCCUUCCCAAUAGACAGGUAGGUGGGCCUUCCGGGAAGAUGGCGGAGCGGUAAACAGCAAUAAACAGAACUGGGAAUUAAACUCAGGAUCUUUGCACUGACCCACUUCCCAGAGGGUCUCCCUAGGCUCAAAUAUACAAUCCUCCUGGCUCAGCCUCCCAGCGUGCUCCCAGGCAUUCAUCACGACCCAGGAUGCCCAUGUUUCUAAGUACCACCUUCUUGUCAUACAUCACUGUCCCGACCGAAAUGGUAUCCUGGGGAAGAUGUCGGCAUGAUUCAGGAAAGGGGGAGCUCAGAGCAUCUGGGCAUGCACGGUUCAGCACCUUGAGGAAGCCAGAUGUUUUUGCCCGCAUACGCGUGUGAAUAUAGGCCUUGGAGCACUUGAUGUGGUAAUGCAGGUAGUCCCGGAACGUGUGGAUCAGGUUGACGGUGUUGUCUCAGGAACUGGCAUUGGUGUGGUGAGGGAACAGCACAAAGGUGACGUAGCCAGUGUUGUCGCCCACGGCCGCAUCUGUACCGUUCAGCUCCGGAGGAGGUUCCCUGUGGCUAAAGAGAACCUGGGGGCUGUGUGGCUGGCUCUGCGUCCUUCUUUGAACUCCUGCAUGAAC